Molecule: ribosomal RNA, 1271 nt
Filed under: Triticum aestivum (bread wheat)
Lineage: Eukaryota; Viridiplantae; Streptophyta; Magnoliopsida; Poales; Poaceae
Description: partial small subunit ribosomal RNA
Source: RNAcentral
UUGUUUCGGUAGCUACGGGGAGUAGAGAGGGUUUAGCGGCGGUGAUUGGCGGAGCAGUGGGAGCAGGAGGGUGGAGCGGCGGCCGGGAGGGGAGGCAAGGAGGGUAUAGCGACGAGAACUCCGAUGGCCUAGACGGAGUAGGGGGUGGAUGGGGUAGGGAGAGUGUAGGGUAGAGAGAGAGAGAGAGAGAGAGUCACGUCGAGGAGCACCGCGGUGGACGCCGCCAACUAAGUCCGCUGAAGGCCGCUUAGGGCGGUACGGGCUCCAGGGAAGUGUGGCACCGCGCGAGGGUACGUCGAUCUAGACCGCGGGCGCCGAUGGUUUCGGGUGGGCGCUGGAAGGGCGCUACCGAUCCCAAAGCCCGCGGCCGCGGCCGCGGUCACCGGUACAGCAGAAAGAGCAGGCCUCAGACUACCAGUCCAAUAAAUCCACCUCCAUCAUCGAACGAUUACCACCGAAAGUGCAGGUCGAAUUUAUGAUCUCCUGCACCUGGACAAAACCUCCUUCGUGCCUGUGGAAACAAAAUCACUCGUCGUACGUCAAUAAUAUAUACGUGAACCCAGUUCAGUUGCGUCUCCUAAGUAGAUAUAGUUCAUGACUAGAUGAUUAGAUUUUUUUCCAAAGGUUUCUUUCUUUAUGAGUUACGGUAAGUCACGGAAAGUUACACGGUCAGAGAUGUAAGUAUCAUGUAGUGACUCAAAAUGGAAGUUGAUUCUGAUAAAGGCAACACCACUAAUAAACAAAUAAGGAAGUAACGAAUCUAAUCGAGAUUGGUAAAAAGUCGGAGGGAAAGACGAGAAUAAAUUGAUAAAUACAUGAAGGGUUACUACAUGGAUAACAACACACAUUAAAUUACACUCCACGGUGUGAGUAGGCAAGGCCGUGAUAGCUCUACCUCCGGUUGUGGAACCUGCCGACCUCGACGAUCAUCUAAACAGGUUCUAUGCCGUCACAAGUAUCAGUAUCAAGACUAAGUUUUUUAUAUACUUGUUAGUACCCACGUACCGUUCAUAUGAUGUUACUACUACUAAUACUACAAGACCAAGUGCUACUACUGCUACUACAAACAAAAGUCAAAAUCAAUCCAACAUCCCUACAACAAGGAGCCAAUUCAAAAUCAAUUCAACAUCCCUACAACUACCUACAACAGUCAAAUUCAAAACGACAAUUCUCUUAUAAAUCUAACACGUAAUGUAAACCUACAAUAAGGAGGACAUUAUAGUUGAUAACAUUAGGGUGUUAAAAAAGGUUAUAUACUAGAGAAGGAGACC